RNAcentral lists this long non-coding RNA (523 nucleotides) under Mus spicilegus (steppe mouse). RNAcentral's name for it is "lncRNA (ENSMSIG00000006325.1)". The stretch from base 369 to 494 matches the Rfam family "X-chromosome inactivation gene exon 4". Lineage: Eukaryota; Metazoa; Chordata; Mammalia; Rodentia; Muridae. The record is from RNAcentral.
AUCACAACAGCAGUUCUCCCGGCAUUACUGAGAAAUGAUACUAUUUUUCUGAGGAGGAUGUUCAAGUAACUCAUCCAGUGCAGGAUCCUGCUUGAACUACUGCUCCUCCGUUACAUCAGACUCUGGCUGUUUAGACUACAGGAUGAAUUUGGAGUCUGUUUUGUGCUCCUGCCUCAAGAAGAAGGAUUGCCUGGAUUUAGAGGAGUGAAGAGUGCUGGAGAGGGCCCAAAGGGACAAACAAUCCCUAUGUGAGAUUCAAGGACUGCCAGCAGCCUAUACAGCUACAUUACAUCUCAGCAGAACUUCUCUUCAAGUCCUCGCUACUCUGAACAAAAAGCUUACAGGCCACAUGGAGAAAAAAAGAUCUCCCCCCAGAAUUGUGGGCUUGUUGCUUUGCAGUGCUGGCGACCUAUUCCCUUUGACGAUCCCUAGGUGGAGAUGGGGCAUGAGGAUCCUCCAGGGGAAUAGCUCACCACCACUGGGCAACAGGCCUAGCCCAGAUUUCAGUGAGACGCUUUCCUGA